This 156-nucleotide ribosomal RNA is filed under the name uncultured Salinimicrobium sp. RNAcentral's name for it is "partial 16S ribosomal RNA". It matches the Rfam family "Bacterial small subunit ribosomal RNA", at positions 355 to 507 of the family's 1533-position model. The record is from RNAcentral. Lineage: Bacteria; Pseudomonadati; Bacteroidota; Flavobacteriia; Flavobacteriales; Flavobacteriaceae.
UGAGGAAUAUUGGACAAUGGGCGAAAGCCUGAUCCAGCCAUGCCGCGUGCAGGAAGACGGCCCUAUGGGUUGUAAACUGCUUUUAUACGGGAAGAAACACUCUCUCGAGUAGGGGGCUUGACGGUACCGUAUGAAUAAGGAUCGGCUAACUCCGUG